Molecule: ribosomal RNA, 253 nt
Filed under: uncultured bacterium
Lineage: Bacteria
Description: partial 16S ribosomal RNA
Rfam family: Bacterial small subunit ribosomal RNA
Source: RNAcentral
CGAAGGGUGCAAGCGUUACUCGGAAUUACUGGGCGUAAAGCGUGCGUAGGUGGUUUGUUAAGUCUGCUGUGAAAGCCCUGGGCUCAACCUGGGAAUUGCAGUGGAUACUGGCUGACUAGAAUGUGGCAGAGGGUAGCGGAAUUCCUGGUGUAGCAGUGAAAUGCGUAGAGAUCAGGAGGAACAUCCGUGGCGAAGGCGGCUACCUGGGCCAACAUUGACACUGAGGCACGAAAGCGUGGGAGCAAACAGGAUU